CAACCCCAUUGUAAAUUAAGAAGAGAUAUUACUGUAGAAAACAAUACCAUUCAUUAAAUAUAUAAUUGGUUAGUAAUGCUGACAUGGAGAUUAUAAGUGUGGAUGCCAACUGGAACUGGAGCUACUCAUGACAUUUGGGCAAACCAGAGGCAUUAAGCAACAUCUAGAGGACUUAAGCUGGAAUAAAUCCUUAUGAUUACUUGGAGAUCCAGGAAAUGCUUUAGAGAAGUAUACUCCCAUCUCAAAUGCUAUACCAGGACCACAAGAAGCAUAUUACACUGUAAGAACAUGGAAUAUCAUUGAGAGCACAAUUGGGCUUCUAGAUUUAGAUGCCUACAUGUACUUUGAGCUCUUAUAGAGAACUAAAUGAAGGUCUUGCUGCUAGACAAACCCAUGUUUUUUAGUUGUGGAACUAAGAAAUUGAAACAUUUAUAAAUAAUAAUAUUGUUAAUAGGUCAAUGUUUUAAUUAUUUGUUUUUAUAAUAAAUGA
Molecule: long non-coding RNA, 490 nt
Organism: Achroia grisella
Lineage: Eukaryota; Metazoa; Arthropoda; Insecta; Lepidoptera; Pyralidae
Exons: 3
Source: RefSeq, a predicted model, not a curated record